Bos taurus (domestic cattle) is the source of this 906-nucleotide long non-coding RNA. NCBI's taxonomy places the organism in Eukaryota, Metazoa, Chordata, Mammalia, Artiodactyla, Bovidae. The record is from Ensembl.
GCCCCGGGCGGGCUCCACACCCACCUGCUUCCCUCGGCGGCUCCGGCUCCACUGAGCCGGAGGGUCCGCGGCCCCGCGGGCGCCGCGCACGGGGCGGCGGGGAAAGCCCGGGGCGCCCCGGCCAGGAUGCGCUUGGAGGCUUCGCGGGAUUCCCUGGACCCCUCUGUUUUCGGCCGCGGAGUUAUCCCCCGGCCCUCCCCACACACCCCUGACCCUGGCCCGCUGCUCGACCCCGGGGGACUGGGGAGAGGAGAGCCAGCUCCUGAGUGAUGACCCGGAGUAUCCCCAGGGAAGGAGCGCGCGGGUAACGAGGAGCGCAGAGAGGAUCCGACUUUCCUCCGAGCUCCUCCAGCUCUAUUUGGGGGCCGUCGCCAGCUCCAUAAUCCCCGCUUUCCCAGGUUUGAGGGAAAAGCCUGGUGGGUGGGAGCCGUAACUCUGACUACCCACAGGGGCGCUAUUCAUACCCUGACUUGCUUUCUCUUGCCCGCUCUCCCUGCCGUCUAGAGAACUGUGCCAAGUUCCUCCUUGGAGAGGCAGCCAGAUGGACACCCAGAACUUUCCGUAUCUUCGUGUCGAGUAACAUCAAGAAGGGCUUCCCAGAUGGCUCAGUGGUAAAGAAUCUACUUGCUAAUGCACGAAAUGCAGGUUUGAUACCUGGGUCAGGAAGAUCCCCAGAGAAGGAAAAUGGCAACCCAGUCCAGUAUUCUUGCCUUGGAAAUCUCACGGACAGAGGAACCUGCCGAGCUACAGUCCCGAGGGUCGCAAAAGAAUGGCACACGACUUAGUGACUAAACAACAACAACAACAAUAUCAGGAAAAGACUGAAAAUUGAGGCAUGGAGAGGUUAAGUAACUUUCUCUAGGAAGCAUAAUUAGGAAGUAAUAUGAGUGCCAUUGGAUCUCAAGC